UGAGGACCCAAACGGUCAGUGCCGAUGGACCUCCAGCCACCAUAGCCUGCGACCUCGACGAAAUCCGGGGAUCCCCAACCCCGCUGGCUCCUAGACGAAAGCAAAAGCCUCGCCUGACCGUGAACGGAGCCCGGAGAAACUUAUUCCGACGCGACACCACCGCAACGGCCUCGGCAGCGUCUCCCUCAACCCUAACCCUACGACACACCCACCUAGCGAACAGACCCGAGAUUCCCCCUCCCUCCCGCCGCCGGAGCGACCGACGGAGAGAGAUUUAUUUCUUCAUAAACUCCGGCCUACACUACAUAGUUGUGCCGCCGCCUUCGUUAGGCCACGUACACUAUCGUUUUAUCGGUUUUUAGUAUUGGAUAUGACAGCUCUAGCCAUCCAUUUUCCACACCUAUUCCUCCACAAGAUCCAAAGUGUGCCGUGCCGACUGCCGCCUAGCUCACAUGACACAAACCAAACUUUUGAACUUCGAGAUGGAAGCUAGGGCGCAUCGACCGGCGAGGCGAGAAAGAUAAGGCAGGCUAGCUUGUUUUGUGCGAAUAAUUGGCCAGCCAAGGAAAUAAUAUCCUUCCACUCCAUACUACUCUAUAUAGAUAUGCAUGCCGUCAUUAACAACACAUGCAUGUGCUUGGGCAAAUUAGUGGAUAGGACAUGCAAGGCUCUUGUUUAACAUGACAUUGGCCAAGAAAUUCUUAGUAUUUCAGACGACCACGGCAAUAUGGGUGGUCCAUCCCGAGAACACGACAGCUGAUCAGAGUAGAUGCUUCUGGUAAGAAGAUGGCAUAUAUAAUUGAUGAUCGGCCAGCGUUGUCCAGAGCAAGCAACAAGGUACGUAAUAAUCCGUUGAGCAUGUGUGUGUGUGUGAGUGCGACCUAGGCGAGAGUUUGUGUUGUGCAAGCAUGUGCUAAGCAUAUUACGCCUGCAUGCUACGCGCCAAUCGGACGAGGAGAUGGCAUAUGCUCCACGAUAAUGCCACCGUAUUCGGUCAAGCUAAAAUGCUUGAAGUGUGGUGCUUGUUGUAUAUGUAUACAUACUUGGCGUUGGCGAUAGGUUUGGUGUGGGUACAUUAGUUUUUGGAGUGAGUAUGCUUCCAUGGUGCUUGCCCGCGCUUUAUCGCGAGAGGGACUUUCUCCGAGUGGUCCGUGCCACUAAAAACCGAUAAAAUAUCCUCCGUUGACGUACGCUAAGGUCUUGUUCGGCACUGGUUCUUGGAAAAUGAAGUUUUGUACUUCCACUUGAUUUGACAUUCUUUUUUCCUUUGUACCUCCCACUUGAUUGGCACUAUCCAGUUGCGCAUCUCCGAAUCUAAAAUCACAUGCAACUUUUGAAUGAGAAAAUAUCUACUCCCUAUUAUAAUAUAAGAACAUUGUUGACACUAGCUAUGGUUUGUAUUGAAAUAUCUAAAGAUACUUAUAUUUAGAAACGGAGGGAGUAUUUGUGGUUUUCUUGGUUGUAGUUUGGACACUCCAGUAAGAUCUAAAACCUCAAACCUUGACAUAUACUCUCUUCGUUCCUAUAUAUAAAUAUAUUUAAAGAUUCCAAUAGGAGACUAAAUACGGAGCAAAAUGAGUGAAUUUACACUCUAAAAUAUGUCUAUAUGCAUAUGUAUGUAGUUUGUAUUGAAAUAUCUAAAAAUACUUAUAUUUAGAAAUGAAGUGAGUAUUUGUUAAAUUGUCGACCAGUUUUGGCUCGGACACUCCAUUAAGAAAAUAUUUGACUAUUUUUUAAUACUUUUCAGUGGAAACAACGCUUUUCUAGAGAGUCUGCACUAAAAUGUCAUUUUGCUUGACUUCGUUAGUUGGGCUGAAAUGUUGGCUUAAUCAGGUUGUGGCGCGGUGUAAACUAAACCAAACUUCGGAAGUUAAAUAAGAGACCUCACUAGAUUUCUUGAACUCGUUUGCUAUCUGCAAGAACAGAAAGCUGCUCAUGGCUUGGCAGAUUUGGCAUCUGCUUUGUGCGAAGGGAAGGUGGUUUCAGCGGAUUUCCAUCCGUGCGGUAUUUUGGACCAUAUUUGUCUAUGUACGCAUGGUACGACUGUACGAGGGACGGUCAAUUUUGUCAGGCGGUCUACCCCAGGUUUCCUUAGGGAAAAAGGAUGAAGGAUUUCAUGGCGUGCAAGGCAAGAAGACCAAGAUGGAGGAUGACAGGCAAAGACCAAGACCUAUAUGUGUAAAGAAGUCCGAUCAAGACGAAGGCGAUCUCCGCAUUCACCCGAAGCCACCUUUGGCGUAGGGUCGUUAAGCGUUUGUUUGCCGCUCAAUCAUGGGCUCUUUGGCCAACCUAGGGACGGAGCUACCUUGUAUGCACUGCGGUCAAUUGACUACAAUGAAAUUACAAAAUCCUUCACUAAUUUAAUACUAAUUAAUGUUUAUUUAUAGAAGAUGACCCCACUAUCAUAGAAAUGACCCCGAUUAGCCGCUUGCUGGCUGCGGAGGCGGAGAUUCAUUUUCUGGGGCUCAUGACCGGCUGGACACGGGGAAUCGGGGUCGGCGGUCAUUUAGACUAGGUUUAGAGUACGGUUUAAUUGAAAUGUGUAGAAAUGUAAAGUGUCUGCUCCGGUUUAGAUGAAAAGCAUCCACUUUUCGUAAAAAUUAUCCAAGUAUGAAUGAAUAUCGUCUGGUUUGUUUAAAAAAAAAUAUACAAGUAUGCAUAACCGGGCAUUUGCGGCUAUAGUUGGCUCCGACAUCAGUGUCCGUGGACUAGUACCCCGGUCUACGGACCAACGCGGUGGCCGGUUUGGGGGUCAGCGUUGAAAAUGUCCUAAUUAAUCUAAUGAUAUAUGCCUGGCGUUCUAGAUGUAAAUGUUUUUUCUUCAAAAACUUGACAAGAUUUGACUUUUUAAAAAUCUAUAUGCACGAUAGUAUGGAAUGGAGGGAGUAUAAGGCACCACAAGGAAAAGAGAGAUGAUGUCGAGGCAACACAUUAUGCCAGGGACAUCAAGAGGCGGCCACCGGACAACACCAACGGUAUGCUAAUGCGGAAAUAAACUAGGUGUAUACUUUUCAAUAACAAAUCUUAAAUGUGCUAGGCUCAACUGCACCAACAAUAAUCAACAACAUCACAACACACAUUAUGACAGAGUAAUUAAAGCUUUGAAGCAUCACAACACACAUAAUCAACAACAUUUCAAAUUCAAAUUUAAAUCCACAAUAAAUUCAAGUUAAAAUUUAAGGCUAACACCAUGCAUUUGAAACACAAACAAGAAUGCAUAAAACAUGAAUGCAUAGAGCUCUCAAAUGUCAUUGCCUCCAUUGGCAUCACUAGUGCUUGCAUGAUCUCCAUUGCUUGCAUUCUCUCCAUUGCCACCAUAGCUUCCAAUGCCAUCCAUGAAUCCUCGGCCCUUGAACAAUCCACUAGUAAUGUUGAGCUACAUACCACAAGUGAGAAAUCAAGUUAGCCACCAAUACAUACAAGAGAUGAAGAAAUAUUUGAUGAAUGCAAACAAACAGUCACCUUAUCUUUGGCAUUUUUACCUCUUAGGUUCACACGAUCAACUUAUGGCAAGCAUGCCGAUCACUUUUGACACUUCGAUGAUAUAGUUUGCCUUCAAAUUUAUGAUCGAUAGAGCCACUAGUGUUGUGCCUUGAAGUACUCAUAGAUAUGCUCCCAAUAAGUGACAUUGGUUGCUCAGCACCAAUGACCAUAUCAAGAUUGAUUUCUUCCAUGCUUGACACAACAGCUUGUCUUCUUUGGUGGUGUAGUUUGCACUUCUCUUGCUAUAGAAAAUCUUGAGAUGCAUCAACGAAGCCAUUCUCUUCCAUGUCAACAAGGUGCUCUUCUUGCGUUUCAUAUCCUUGAAAGGGCAAUUUUUAAAAUACAAAAUCUUGAGAUGCAACGUAAGUGUAUUGAAAAAAUAGUUUUGUCAUCCGUACUACAUGUAUCAAAUUUGAAGAAAAUAUAAACACAUCACAUCACAAUUGCAUAAAAAUGUAAAAUGCCAUGAAAAUCAAUGAAAAAACAAGAAAGAUUUUUUUACCGCCGAGUCAUUUCAUCGAAGACGGUGGGGACGCCGCUAGUUGUGGCGGCGGGUGAUGCCGUAUCGUCCUCGUGCGGCGGUGGGAGGGUGGGGAAGAGGCCCUAGGUGGUGCCGGAGGAGCCACUGGCAUUUGGAAGGGAUUGAUGGCGUCAGGGUCGUUGCCGUUGUCGUUGCCUUCUUUUUCGCGCGAGCAAUAGCAGUGCUCGACGGAUCCCACAACAACCGCUUCCUGGGGACCUUGUCUUCCUGCAGAUGACCUUGGAGGCGACGGCAGAGUCCUUGGGCGCAUCCCCGCCGGCCGCGGCGGCGGUUUGUGGAGGCACAAGCCCUUCGACUUGUCGCGACCAUUGCAGGGAACCACGAGAGGGACAACUACAGGUGCGGUAGGAGCAGUUGGGAGACCAACGACGUCGGUGAUCACGUCAUAGAUGCCUUCCAUUGUGUAUCAGUGGCUGGUGGCGGUCAUGGUGGGAGGCGAGUCGACGGAGAGAACUUUUAGUUCGAACGGUUUCGUUUCGCCGCAGGUUUUGGGUAGUUGCUAGUGAUCAUGUAUAUAUUUCCAUCACUUAAAGCAAUUUUUUGGGCAGGACCUAAAUUUUUAGGCACCAUUACCUAUCAUACCGUUGUUGGAGGUGCUUUUUUUGCUCCACGUGAUUUAAAAAGCAGUUUUUUUAGCAUGACCGUGUUUGUAGAGCAGUCGUUGGAGACACUCAAAUCUAAUAUAAGCCGAAUCAAGCAUGCAUGGAGCAGUACUGACUUUUAGGGGAUAUAGUGUCGGUAGUUUAGUGUGUUCUUUUAGCUAGCUAGGGAGGGACACCAGCUGUGUCUUAGUGCAUGGUUAGGGCAUCUUUAAAGCGGACCCGUAAACCUUUCGCAACCGUUCGGUCCAUGGAAAUCAUACAACGCCGAUCUGUAUCGGUCCGUGAAGCAGUUCGGAUGCGAUUUCUCCCAUAAAUCGAAGACAUGCUGGGGAAGGUUUGCGGGAGUUUGGACUGACCCCAAACCCGUUUUCUGACCGCCCUGGCCCGCCACCCCCCCACCAGCGCACGCUCCCGUCCGGUGCCAGCUGCCCGCAUUCAUAUCAUUGUAGAGCGCGCCACUCAACAUUGAAGACGGCUCAAGGCGUACGCCGCCUCUCAUUGCCUCCGCCGUUGAAGCGGCAUGCCGGCCAAGGGCACCGUCCGCGACGCGUCUCCCAUGUCCGUGUCUGUUCAAUGCCGGGGACGUGCAACUGGACGGGACAAGAGGGUUAUCUACCGCGCCCGUUCAAUGCCGAUGUCCGUCUGUCUGCCACCAUUAAGCAGACUCGCCGGCUGAGAAACCCACUUCGGCGCCGCGCAUUGACGCACCCGCACGCCUGGCCUCACCGGAAUGCGCUAUAUAAAUAUGGCCACACCUGGCUAACUCCACACCACAACACUAGCCCCUCCAUAACCUCCUCCCUUGCACUGCAUCCGCCAUGACGGCCAGCGGAAAAGCAUUGGGGGACAUUCUAUCGCCGGAGAUGAAGCACGCGGUGGCCGCCCUUGCUGCCGCCUGGCAUAGGCGCCAUGCCAGGUGGAUCGACGCUGGCUUGCCGGCCAGCUUGCCCGAGAUCUCCGAUGACGAGGACAACCACGACGGAGACGAGCUCCGACGACUCCACCCCGGCUCCCGCGCCUCUUAUGCACGCCGGCUUCACCACGGAGCAGGCGCAUGCGCAGUUCAACGCCGCCAUGGCGGAGGUGCAGCAUGCGGUGGCGCCUUUGUCGGCAUUUCAGCAGGCGUAGGAGGAACAACGGUACAACCUGUUCCUCCUGGAGCAGGAUCGAUUGACGGAAGGCCAGAUCUACGGCGAGCGCGCGAGCGAGGAGACCAUGGUGGCCAUGGCCGUGGUGAACCCAAAUUUCAUCGCGGAGCAGCUUGCCAUCUACGAUGUCGUCCGCGCUCAAGCCGUCGCUCGCCUGGAAGCGGUGGCCGCGGAGGAGAACAUAGCCAGCUGCGCCUCCUACGCGCCGCCGACGACCCAUCAGUCGGCCCGGUGGGACGAUGACAGCCAAGGCGCCACCAUUUCCCUCAUGGACCUCACGUGCACCGGCGACGGACAAGGCACGGACUCCUGCGAGGAUGAAUAGGCCACGGGAGGCGGCGGGGCCUGGUGUCCCAUGUGGGUUGGUCUAUCUUCCGUGUUCUAUUCUUCCUCGCCGGAGACCGCACCUUUACUUCAUCGGUCUUAUCGCCGGUGCUCAUGGAGACGGCGGAAGGCGGACGGCAUGGGCUUGAACGCCAGCCGCCGCCGCCGUAAGAUAGGUUAGUGGCGAGUCUUUUUUUCUUUAAAUGUUCGAAAUGUAGUUAAAUCUGCCGUGUUUGUAUGAAACCCGUCAUAUUUGUAUGAAUCCGAACGUGUCUGCAUGAAUUUCAUCCGGUUUGUUAAAAAUUAGUUUGAAAUGUAUGCGGCCCGUUGGAUGUCACACUCCCGCAUCCAUGUGAUUUCACGGCUGGGCUUGCCCAGAACGUGAAGGCAGCGUUUGGCAUAUCUGAACCCAGCAAAUCUCGACCUGCAUCCAGGAUUCAGGCGGUCUUGCACGCAGCUAAUUAGCAAUUAGGGACUCUUAAACGCCAUGAUUAGCUUUAGCUAGUAAGAGCAAGCUGCCAAGCUACUGUCAGGAUAAGGUACCAUACUACCGUCCAUCACCCACGUUACGUUAGUGUGCACAAUCUAUCAUCUUGGGAAUAGUAGUAGCUCCAUCGAUCACUUCUCGAAUACUCCUACUUGCUCUGCAUGGCGAUUGAAGCAUUCAUCAGAAGAAAAAAAUACAGCUUACAAUCUGGCAUGGUCGUCGUGGCGGUGUGAUACGCGUUUGUUGGGCCUUUUCGUAGCUGAGUAAGCUGCAGUCUGUACUUUUCCGGUGACAGUGCACGCCGGGGUCAACGGUGACGCACGUUCUAAGGUCGAGAGAGUACCGUUCCACCACGCCGUCUUUGCCGGAGACGGGAGACGAAGCCGUCCUCAUCACCACCAUGGCCGCAACUUUCUCUGGGUUUUGUCUCCGAUCGACACGUACGUUCAUUUCACCAUGCAUUUCGACCUCUCUCUCUGUCGCCCGUUUAAUUAUAUUCUACCCCGUUGGCCGCGCCAGUAAUUCCGACGUUGCGCUCAUGCCGGGAAACAUCCCACCGGACGCGAAGCCGACAUCGGCGUCGUGGAGUGCACCGGCAGCGAAAAAGGUCGGCACGGACCGCUCGUCGCUCGAUGGGCGUACGUUUCCGGCCAGAUGUUGCCCGAUUUUCGUCGCACGAGCGAGCGAACGCAUUGGACUGCAUGCUGCGGUGUCGUGCGCUCCGUGGUCAUUGAGUCUGCUCGAAAGAUCAAGCUGGCGAGGUGUCCGAGAGCCAGCCGGCUGUUCGCCGAACAGACCGCUCGAGCACCCCACCGAGAAGACGAGUGGCAUCGCUCUGUUGGGCCAUGUGUGCGCUAGCUGGUGCAACGCGGGGAACGUGAUCGGGCUAGCUAGCCAAGCGCUAAUUAGCUGUACCAUGACGAUUCAAGCUAUUUCUUCUGAACAGCAGAUUGUUAAUUAGGCACCGUUUAUUUGGUUCUGGUCGCGGAAAAUUUGUUGAUCACCACAAUGGAUAGUGGAUAGUGGUGGCUAGCGCGUUCUUCCGGACAACAAAAUCGGUAACUAAAGCUGCAUUUACUUUGCCGUCGACGAAAAUAUGUCGACGCUAAUUAACUAAGUCGACAACGUACUGCCUAGUACUACGACGUUCGGAUGGCAGCACUAGCUAGCACUCAUGGUCUACCUUUGCCUGAGGAAAGUAGGGCACCAUUUUCGCUUUGGCACACUCCACACUCCUCCAUGCAGAUUUGGCUUUUGGAACCAGUUGAUGGGGCAAGGGAAACUUUGUGCGCCGAACACGCCAUUGUAGUACAACGGGCACACCUAUUUGUCUCCUUUUCUUGUCGCUGCAAUUAUCAAGUUGGAAACGGACGAUCUUAGGCCAACUCCACCGCGCGACCCCAAACGGACGUCCGGAUUGACCCGAAUCUGUCCCUUUGGGGCGCCGAUGGAUACGCCCGUGUCCGGCUGUGUCCAUUGGGUCGUACGUGUGCCCACCGCGCGGCGGCACCUCAAAUCGUGUCCGGAGCGGACGGGAUUAAAAAUAAUAAUUAAAUAACUAAAAAAGCAAAUAAACGCAUUUUAAAAAAAACAUAAAACAUAUAUAUGGGUUGGCCACAAAACGGCCCAGUUUCAACGGCCACUUAAAAGGCCCAGAUUCAUAAUUAACAUAAUAAGAAAAUAAAGAAAACUCCUCCCACGCGCUCCUGCCGCGCCCGUCGGUGCCGUGGCCGUCCCAGUCUUCACUGGCCGCCGGUGUCGUCGUCGUCGCUGACGAGGUCGACGUACUCCGGCGGCGUCCAGAGGUGGGCCGGCGGUGCGUGGUGGACGGGGACGGGCUGGACGGCCGGAGGUGCCUGCACCACCUCCUCCCGCGGCGACGCCUCCCGCUCCGGAGUGGGGUACCAGUUCACGCCCAGGUGGGCGGCCGACGAGCUCGAGGAGGAGUCGGGCUAGGGUUUCUGCGCUGUCGGAGUUCGAGGAGGCCGCUGGGUGGCGUGGGGCAGUGUGGACGACGACCCGUCCACGCUUCCCACUUAAAAAAGGACGGCGACCGCUCGACGUGCGGAUGACAUGUGGGGCCGCCCACUCGUGCGCAUUGAUGUGGGUGGGUGGGAGGUGGGUGGCCGCCUGCCACGCGGCCCCGACGCGGACGAGCGCGCGUCCGUUUGGUGUCCGCCGCGACCCAAACCCGGCGUAAGUUUGCGCUCGAAAUGGAUCGGCCCGGACACAAAACGGACAAGAUGGGUCCGGGCCGUCGCGCGCCGGGCCGCCUCCUUUGUCCGUUUUACGCCAAACGGACAUGACCGGACAGGAUAGGGUCGCGCGGUGGAGUUGGCCUUAUCUCCAACAUCGAUCUUGGGGCGUGAUCCGAUUAGAAAAAAUCUAUAGUGCGUCACCGCAAGGAAUGAAGUUGUUGCGGCGACGUACUGCUACUUGCAAAUUUUAAUCGAUAACUUUGCAUAGGCAACUACCAGCAUAUGAUACAUAUAUAUUCCCCGCAAAUGUAAAAUGAGAGGAAAAUGGAAGCCUACUGUAGUCAGCACGGCACUGCCGAGCUUGCACGGGACAAAACGCAAGGAGAUUUCUUCCCGGGACUUUGUUGUAAUACUAAUUAAUUAAGGCUCCAAAGUACCAUGGCAUAAAGAUAAGGCUUGUUUAUAAUCAUUAUGAAAAUUGGACUAGCUAGAUUCUGCAUUACGAGCUGUUGCGUUGCAGUCGCUGGACCGGAUGGAUUUCGUGGGAAACGUCACACUUCCUCGGAUCCUUCCUGCCCCGAUUGAUCGAUGAUCUACUACUACAACAAACAAUUAGUUUUGUCCACAAUUUCAAGGAAAAUUAAUUUUCUCCAUACGGAGUACAAGUUGGGUGCGACGAGCGACGUCGGCGUCUGCAUCAGAGCAUGACUUAGACUACCCACAAUGGAAGUAACAUAGAUAGUAACAUCACACAUAUCUAGAUAAAAUAGAUGAUGUGACAAGCAAUAAAUAAAGAAAGAGAGAAAAGUGGUAACAUAGCUACUCCUUCCUUUCCGGUUUAUAGAGCUCAAUUCAAAAAUUUCACCAACCAAGGUAGAUAAUGAGUGGUGGAAUCUUUUUUGUAAUUUGCAAAAGCACCCAAUUAAUGCUCUUGUUUUCUUCAAAAAUGUAUGUUUACCAAUGUAUUAAUUGCAAUGCAUGCAUGCAUAAAGUACAUGCAUUGGUCAAUUUUCUGUUAAUACCUGCAUGCAAUUAUUUAAUGCACCUUGGAAUCUAAACUUGUGAUGGGGAACAACCAAAUUGAGCCUUAUAAAAUGAAAAAACUAAGAUUUUGAGAUAAGCCCUAUAAACCGGAAAGGAGGGAGUAGUUACUACUAAUAGUAGUAACAUCACAUAUAUCAAGGCAAGAUGCGUCCAUAGCCUAAUAAAUGAAGAGUUGCAUGUUACCACACAUAUGUUACUCCACACUAUAGAGGUAGUAACAUAGGCUAGUAACAUGUCGAUGUUACUACUCUAUGUUACUAUCCAUUGUGGCUAGUCUUAUUUUGUGCCAGUGUGCCGUGUUGUUAAUGGCAUUGGCUGGCUGUUCGUUAUUGCUAAUUGUAUGUAUACAUCAUGAUGAUGGCAUUACUUCCGUCACGAUGAUUCUGCAUGCUGACGGCAAGCACGAACAUCCACCAAAAAGGUUGGCCUAUACGACGCUCGUGUAUGUUUUGAGACUUCGCUGAAGGCUCCUCUAGGCGAGUCGGCCCAUGUAACAGCUGUUAUGUUUCUCUUUGUCUUCUUUUUCUAUUUUAUGAUAUGAGGUUUUCCUUUUUUUAGGUUUUUUAAUAGUUGCAAUUUUUUUAAUAUAGGCUGAACUUUUUUGAUAUAUGCUAUUUUUUUAUAAUACACACUGAACUUUUUUAUUAUACAGUGAACAUGUUUUAUAUAAUUUAUUUUUUAUAUACAUUUGAUAUAGAUGAUGAACUUUUUAAGUUAUAUGUCAUAUUAAUAUAAUACACCCUGAACAUUUUUUUAAUAUAGAUAAAACUUCUUUUAAUAUACACUCUAGUUUUUAUAAAACAAAUACUGAACAAUUUUAUAAACUGUAUUUUUAUUUUUAAUAGGUUUUACAAUAUAUACCUCCUAAAAAACAACCAAUUUUUGGUGAGAAAGCGAUAAAGGUAUGUAUCGUAAGGAGUAGCUGGCAUUAUUUGGUGAAGCGCCGAAUAGGAGCUCCCGGCACAUAGCGGCCCCGCGGUCAACAGCGGUACUUUCCACAUGGGCCACAACCCUCUACCACGGUUAAUUUUUCUGUUUUUUCCCCAGUUUUUGUUUUCUUUUUCUGGUCUUGCUUUCGUUAUUUUUUCUCGGUUUUUUCUCAGGUUCAUUUUGUUGUCCUUUUGUUUUUUAAUGAUUUUUCAAGUUUCCUUUCUUCUAAGCUUCAUUUUGUUUUUGUUUUAUAUUUUUCUUGUCUCAGUAGAAAACAAUAGUGCAUUGAACACUUCUUGAAAAAUAGGGGGAAAAUAUUAGCGCAUUGAACAAUUUCUAAUUACAUGAUUUGUUUUUCAAAAGCACUUCAUAUAUUUUUUUAUACAUGAAAAUAUAUUAUAAUUUUUUUGCAAAUACAUGUUGAAGAAAUUCUAAACAAUUUUUUUUUGAGAAUUUUAUCAUUCAUAUCACGAAUAAGUACAAAGUAGUCGACCCUUACAAUCACACUGAAACACAAACAUAAAGGACCAUGAACACUUAAAGUACCCUAAGACAAUCAUAACGCAAGAAGAUCUCCGGAGCCCUGUGUCAUCACCCCUAAAUCUUGAGAGAAGACCCCUGCAGCAGAAGAAUCUGCAAGCAGUCGCAAGCAGGUCAUCAUCUUCGACCUCGGUACAACUGCCGCCACGCUGCUUCCUCCUUUCUUGACACCAGCGCUGAGAGGGCAUGGACAUCAAUCCAACAUAUCUGCAACAGCCGUCGCCAUCUAUGGCUUUGAGUACCGCAAAAAGUGUCCCUUCCGGAAGGAAGAGAACUCGAGUCAUCCGACCGGUCCAGCACCGCGGCCGGGCCAUCCGCCCGGGCAAAGCAAGAUCUCCCGCCAGCAUCAGCGCAGAGGAAGGAGAAAAACAACAGCAGCAAAUCAUACCAACAAGGAAGAAGAAAGGUCUUCGUCUCCCUGCAUCCAUCGCCCAUCUGAGGACCCAAACGGCCAGUGCCGAUGGACCUCCAGCUACCAUAGCCCGCGACCUCGACGAAAUCCGGGGAUCCCCAACCCCGCUGGUUCCUAGACGAAAGCAAAAGCCUCGCCUGACCGUGAACGGAGGCCGGAGAAACUUAUUCUGACGCGACACCACCGCAACGGCCUCGGCAGCGUCUCCCUCAACCCUAACCCUACGACACACCCACCUAGCGAACAGACCCGAGGUUCCCCCUCCCUCCCGCCGCCGGAGCGACCGACGGAGAGAGAGGGAACCGGCGGCGUCACCGGCGGCGCGCAGGAACCCUCGUCG
RNAcentral lists this long non-coding RNA (12049 nucleotides) under Triticum aestivum (bread wheat). RNAcentral describes it as "long non-coding RNA (TAES_LNC010822)". The record is from RNAcentral. Lineage: Eukaryota; Viridiplantae; Streptophyta; Magnoliopsida; Poales; Poaceae.